CAAUGGGCGCAAGCCUGAUCCAGCAAUGCCGCGUGUGUGAAGAAGGUCUUCGGAUUGUAAAGCACUUUCGACGGGGACGAUGAUGACGGUACCCGUAGAAGAAGCCCCGGCUAACUUCGUGCCAGCAGCCGCGGUAAUACGAAGGGGGCUAGCGUUGCUCGGAAUGACUGGGCGUAAAGGGCGCGUAGGCGGAUGGCACAGUCAGAUGUGAAAUUCCCGGGCUUAACCUGGGGGCUGCAUUUGAUACGUGUUGUCUAGAGUGAGGAAGAGGGUCGUGGAAUUCCCAGUGUAGAGGUGAAAUUCGUAGAUAUUGGGAAGAACACCGGUGGCGAAGGCGGCGACCUGGUCCUUGACUGACGCUGAGGCGCGAAAGCGUGGGGAGCAAACAGGAUUAGAUACCCUGGUAGUCCACGCUGUAAACGAUGUGUGCUGGAUGUUGGGCGACCUAGUCGCUCAGUGUCGUAGCUAACGCGAUAAGCACACCGCCUGGGGAGUACGGCCGCAAGG
This 507-nucleotide ribosomal RNA is filed under the name uncultured bacterium. Its description in RNAcentral is "bacterial SSU rRNA". It matches the Rfam family "Bacterial small subunit ribosomal RNA", at positions 369 to 893 of the family's 1533-position model. The record is from RNAcentral.